AAAGAAUAUAGCCAAUGAUGAAUGUUGGAUCGUACUACUUCUUAAAAUUGUGAGAUAUGAAUAUUUAAGGUACAACAAUAAUAUCAAUGUUUGAAAGUGUUUUCUUCAAGUUGAAUGCAAAAUAAACUGUGACUCUCAAAAUUAGGGAUGAUAAUUUGAUCCAUCCAUUCGAUACAUCUAUUGCUUAAUUCAUCGAAUGCAUUUAUCAAACAAAAAACUUAUUAAUUGGAUUCAAUCUAUCCAAUUGAAAAUCUAUAUGAACACCUUAUUUUAAAGAUUCAAUAGAUAAUCAGAAAUGAUAAUACACAUUCAUUUGAUAAAUAUAAACAAUGUAUUUAUAAAAUUAAUUUAAUAGCUAAAAAACAUAAGGUAAAAAAAC
This 379-nucleotide long non-coding RNA is filed under the name Medicago truncatula (barrel medic). RNAcentral's name for it is "long non-coding RNA (MTRU_LNC008297)". Lineage: Eukaryota; Viridiplantae; Streptophyta; Magnoliopsida; Fabales; Fabaceae. The record is from RNAcentral.